RNAcentral lists this ribosomal RNA (2785 nucleotides) under Thomasclavelia ramosa. RNAcentral's name for it is "bacterial LSU rRNA". It matches the Rfam family "Bacterial large subunit ribosomal RNA". Lineage: Bacteria; Bacillati; Bacillota; Erysipelotrichia; Erysipelotrichales; Coprobacillaceae. The record is from RNAcentral.
AAGAAAAGGUAUGGCGGAUGCCUGGCACAGAGAGCGAAGAAGGACGCAGCAACAGCAAAUGUGACGGUUAGCAGUGAGCAUGGCUUAUCUGUGGAUGUCUGAAUAGGGGAACCCCCCUGGAGUAGUAGUCCAGCGUAUCCUCAAGUGAAUAUAUAGCUUCAGAGAGGCGAGACUCAGGGGAACCUGAAACAAUCUAAGGUCCUCAGGAAGGAGAGGAGAAAAUAACACGAAUGAUUCCCUAAGUAUCGGCGAGCGAAAGGGGAAGAGCCCAAACCGAUCUUAGGAUGGGGUUGUAGGACUGUCGGCAAAGAGCAAGAAAUCAUUAUAGGCGAACGGAAUGGGAAGUCCGGCGAAACAGGGUGACAGCCCCGUAGCCGAAAUAGUGAAGAAGCACGAGACAGCACCUGAGUACGGCGGGACACGAGGAAUCCCUCCUUGUCGUGAAUCCACCAGGACCUUCUGGUAAGGCUAAAUACUACCUUCUGUGACCGUAUAGUGAACCAAUACCGUGAGGGAAAGGUGAAAUAGACCCCCGGGAAGGGGAGUGAAAUAGAUCCUGAAACCGUAUGCUUACAAGAAGUUAGAGCCCGUUAAAGGGUGAUAGCGUGCCCUUUUGUAGAAUGAACCGGCGAGUUACGAUAUGGAGCGAGGUUAAGCAGGAAUAUGCCGGAGCCGAAGCGAAAGCGAGUUUUAACAGGGGCGAAAGUUGCAUGUCGUAGACCCGAAACCGAGUGAUCUAGCCAUGACCAGGUUGAAGUUGGGGUAAAACCCGAUGGAGGACCGAACCGACCCCCCGUUGAAACGUUGUGCGGAUGAUGUUGGUGGCUAGUGGGUGAAAUUCCAAUCGUAACUCGGAGAUAGCUUGGUUCUCCCCGAAAUAGCUUUAGGGCUAGCAGUCGUAGUGUAAAGUCAGUGUGAAGGUAGAGCACUGUAAUAUGUGAUGGCCCCAUCUCGGGGUACUGAACAUAAUCAAACUCUCGAAUGUGCACAAAGAUAUACUCGGCAGUCAGACAGUGGGUGAUAAGGUCCAUUGUCAAAAAGGGAAACAGCCCAGACCAUCAGCUAAGGUCCCAAAAUAUAUACUAAGUGGAAAAGGAUGUGGAGAUGUCCAGACAACUAGGCAGGUUGGCUCAGAAUGCAGCCAUUCAACCUUUAAUAGAGUGCGUAACAGCUCACUAGUCGAAGUGACUCUGCGCCGAUAAUUUAUCCGGGGCUAAGUAUAUUUACCGAAGCUAUGGAUUUACGCGUUAAAGCGUGAGUGGUUAGGGGGAGCGUUCUAUGUGCGGAGAAGCGGUACCGUAAGGAGCCGUGGAGCGCAUAGAAGAGAGAAUGCCGGUGUGAGUAGCGAAACGUGGGUGAGAAUCCCACGCCACCGAAAACCCAAGGUUUCCAGAGGAAGGUUCGUCCGCCUCAGGGUAAGUCGGGACCUAAGGCGAGGCCGAGAGGCGUAGUCGAUGGACAACAGGUAGAGAUUCCUGUACUUACGGUAUGAAUGAUGGAGUGACGGAGAAGGCUAGCGGAUCCUGCUGAUGGAAAUGCAGGUGCAAGCGAGGGAGCCGCCAGCCAGGCAAAUCCGGCUGUCGAAAGGCCAUGGCGCUGAGGCGUAUGGAAAGCUGCGGCAAGUACAGAAGUCCGUGAAGCCAGCUUCCAAGAAAAGCUUCUAGUGAUAAUCAUACAGUAACCCGUACCGAAAAUGGACACACAUGGGUGAGGAGAGAAUACCUAAGGUGAGCGAGAGAACUAUAGCUAAGGAACUCUGCAAAAUGACUCCGUAACUUAGGGAUAAGGAGUGCUCAUAGAGAUAUGAGCCGCAGUGAAACGGCCCAAGCGACUGUUUACCAAAAACACAGCUCUAUGCUAAGUCGAAAGACGACGUAUAUGGGGUGACGCCUGCCCGGUGCUGGAAGGUUAAGAGGAUGUGUCAGCGCAAGCGAAGCAUUGAAUUGAAGCCCCAGUAAACGGCGGCCGUAACUAUAACGGUCUAAGAGGGAAUUCCUCAGGUAAGUUACCGCCCCAAAGAGAGCGAUUUGUGGUGUUCAUCUGUAGAUGGUGAAGUAUUAGUACCUGUCAAGAGCAGGUUACCCCCCCUAGACGGAAAGACCCCAUGGAGCUUUACUGUAGCUUGAUAUUGGAUUCUUUGAUGCAAAGAUGUACAGGCAUAGGUAGGAGUAUGAGAGACAUGCACGCCAGUGUGUGAGGAGUCAAUGUUGGGAUACUACUCUUCCUUGUAUUGGAGUUGCUAACCGGAUGCCAUGGAACUGGCAACGGGCACAGUAGUCAGGUCGGGCAGUUUGACUGGGGCGGUCGCCUCCCAAAGAGUAACGGAGGCGCCCAAAGAUACCCUCAGCUUGGAUGGAAAUCAAGCGCAGAGUGCAAAGGCAUAAGGGUGUUUGACUGCGAGACCUACAAGUCGAGCAGGGACGAAAGUCGGGCUUAGUGAUCCGGCGGUGCUGAAUGGAAAGGCCGUCGCUCAACGGAUAAAAGCUACCCUGGGGAUAACAGGCUGAUCUCCCCCAAGAGUUCACAUCGACGGGGAGGUUUGGCACCUCGAUGUCGGCUCAUCGCAUCCUGGAGCUGAAGUCGGUUCCAAGGGUUGGGCUGUUCGCCCAUUAAAGCGGUACGCGAGCUGGGUUCAGAACGUCGUGAGACAGUUCGGUCCCUAUCUGUCGUGGGCGUAGGAAGUUUGAGAAGAUCUGUCCUCAGUACGAGAGGACCGGGAGGACAUAUCAAUGGUGCACCAGUUGUCACGCCAGGGCACAGCGGUAGCUAAAUAGGAAGGGAAAAA